GACAGAGGUGCCAAGCGUUAGGCGGAAUCACUGGGCUUAAAGCGUGUGUAGGUGGAUUUGUAAGUACCUUGUGAAAUCCCACGGCUCAACCGUGGAACUGCUCGGUAUACUGCGAAUCUUGAGCCACUUAGGGGCUACCGGAACAAAUGGUGGAGCGGUGAAAUGCGUAGAUAUCGUUUGGAACGCCAACGGUGAAAACAGACAGCUGGGAGUGUGCUGACGCUGAGACACGAAAGCCAGGGGAGCGAACGGG
Molecule: ribosomal RNA, 253 nt
Filed under: uncultured bacterium
Lineage: Bacteria
Description: partial 16S ribosomal RNA
Rfam family: Bacterial small subunit ribosomal RNA
Source: RNAcentral